AAAAAGAUAAGCUAAUUAAGCUCCUAGGUUCAUACCCUAAUCAUAAAGGUAAUAAUCCUUUUCUUUUUA
Molecule: transfer RNA, 69 nt
Filed under: Lordithon exoletus
Lineage: Eukaryota; Metazoa; Arthropoda; Insecta; Coleoptera; Staphylinidae
Description: tRNA-Met
Source: RNAcentral